AUUGAACGCUGGCGGCAUGCCUUACACAUGCAAGUCGAACGGCAGCACGGGGGCAACCCUGGUGGCGAGUGGCGAACGGGUGAGUAACAUAUCGGAACAUACCCUAGAGUGGGGGAUAACGUAGCGAAAGUUACGCUAAUACCGCAUACGAUCUAAGGAUGAAAGUGGGGGAUCUUCGGACCUCAUGCUCAUGGAGUGGCCGAUAUCUGAUUAGCUAGUUGGUGAGGUAAAGGCUCACCAAGGCGACGAUCAGUAGCUGGUUUGAGAGAACGACCAGCCACACUGGAACUGAGACACGGUCCAGACUCCUACGGGAGGCAGCAGUGGGGAAUUUUUGGGACAAUAGGGGCAACCCUGAUCCAGCAUGCCGCGUGAGUGAAGAAGGCC
This 387-nucleotide ribosomal RNA is filed under the name uncultured bacterium. Its description in RNAcentral is "bacterial SSU rRNA". It matches the Rfam family "Bacterial small subunit ribosomal RNA", at positions 30 to 416 of the family's 1533-position model. The record is from RNAcentral.